AUGUGCGGGUGUGCGGAGGCGCUCGUGAGGGCGGUGGUGGCCUUCUUCGACGCCUUCCUCGUUGACUGCUUCCUCUUCUGGUUCCGCCGCCCCCGCCCCCGCCCCGACAACCCCGCCUCCGCCCACCGGGAUCCGCUUGUGCCCAAGGACUGGACAGGGGAGGUGCUCCCGGCCUCGGACAAAGAGAAAGGUGCCCUGGGUUUCUCGGUUUUGCAGAGAGCACAUUGUCGAACCAGCAGUUGGCAGAUGGCAAUGACACAAAUGAGGAGCUUAGGCGAGAGCUCUAGGUCUAUUGUGUUGUGGCUGACCUCUCUGCCGCUGGUUGGACGUCUGUGUGGUACUGUUUCAAGUUUUGAAGAGAGCACAGGCUCGAAUGAACAGUGUGUGUGGAACAGAUUCUUGUCUGAAUUCUCUUCUUGUGGGAGUAUGAACUUGCUUGCAGUAUCUUGGAGUAUCAACUUGGAGCAUCUGCCAAUUUUGCUGUCCAGAACACUACUUCAGUUAAUACACUAUCUAGUACUGCUAGUUCUCAUCUCACUUGUUGUGCUUCUUGUACUGGGAGCACUCUUUGUUAUCCCAAGAUCUAACAUCAAAGGCAACAUGGUGAAUCUAGUACAGGCAUCGUUGGCCAUCCUCUUCGAGGCUGUGUUUAGCGCAUGCUCUUUUUCGCGGAAGAACUUCGAGGGCAAGAUCAAGGAGAACCAGGAGACGAUCACCGGUUACCUCAUCCUCGUCGGCAUGGUUGGCUCCUUUGGCAGACCCCUCUUUGGCUCCGACCAACUUACUUUUGUCGCUGGCUAG
This 801-nucleotide ribosomal RNA is filed under the name Triticum aestivum (bread wheat). Its description in RNAcentral is "partial small subunit ribosomal RNA". The record is from RNAcentral. Lineage: Eukaryota; Viridiplantae; Streptophyta; Magnoliopsida; Poales; Poaceae.